Molecule: ribosomal RNA, 519 nt
Filed under: uncultured Gammaproteobacteria bacterium
Lineage: Bacteria; Pseudomonadati; Pseudomonadota; Gammaproteobacteria
Description: bacterial SSU rRNA
Rfam family: Bacterial small subunit ribosomal RNA
Source: RNAcentral
UGACGCUGGCGGCAUGCCUAACACAUGUUAGUCGAACGGAAACGAUAGGACGCUUGCUCCUAGGCGUCGAGUGGCGGACGGGUGAGUAACGCGUAGGAAUCUACCCAUAAGCGGGGGAUAGCCCGAGGAAACUCGGAUUAAUACCGCAUAUAUUUUACGAAAGAAAGGUGGCCUCUCCUUGGAUGCUGCCACUUAUGGAUGAGCCUGCGUUGGAUUAGCUUGUUGGUGGGGUAAUGGCCCACCAAGGCGAUGAUCCAUAGCUGUUCUGAGAGGAAGAUCAGCCACACUGGGACUGAGACACGGCCCAGACUCCUACGGGAGGCAGCAGUGGGGAAUAUUGGACAAUGGGCGAAAGCCUGAUCCAGCAAUGCCGCGUGUGUGAAGAAGGCCUGCGGGUCGUAAAGCACUUUCAGUGGUGAGAAAGGGUGCUACGGUUAAGAGCUAUAGCAUUUGAUGUUAGCCACAAAAGAAGCACCGGCUAACUCCGUGCCAGCAGCCGCGGUAAUACGGAGGGUGCGA